This 416-nucleotide ribosomal RNA is filed under the name Wolbachia endosymbiont of Cimex adjunctus. RNAcentral's name for it is "bacterial SSU rRNA". It matches the Rfam family "Bacterial small subunit ribosomal RNA", at positions 1003 to 1416 of the family's 1533-position model. Lineage: Bacteria; Pseudomonadati; Pseudomonadota; Alphaproteobacteria; Rickettsiales; Anaplasmataceae. The record is from RNAcentral.
GAAGGGAUAGGGUCGGUUCGGCCGGAUUUCACACAGGUUGUUGCAUGGCUGUCGUCAGCUCGUGUCGUGAGAUGUUGGGUUAAGUCCCGCAACGAGCGUAACCCUCAUCCUUAGUUACCAUCAGGUAAUGCUGGGGACUUUAAGGAAACUGCUAGUGAUAAACUGGAGGAAGGUGGGGAUGAUGUCAAGUCAUCAUGGCCCUUAUGGAGUGGGCUACACACGUGCUACAAUGGUGGCUACAAUGGGCUGCAAAGUCGCGAGGCUAAGCUAAUCUCUUAAAAGCCAUCUCAGUUCGGAUUGUACUCUGCAACUCGAGUGCAUGAAGUUGGAAUCGCUAGUAAUCGUGGAUCAGCAUGCCACGGUGAAUACGUUCUCGGGUCUUGUACACACUGCCCGUCACGCCAUGGGAAUUGGUU